UCUUUAACCCUGUCUUCCGCGAGGGGGCUUCCGUCACCCCUGGCAGUUCUUGACUCUGCGGCAAAAGGCUCAUUUACUGCCACUGCGUUGGUUUGGAGAUGUCAAUCCGCCCCCCCCCAACGGACAGGAGCUGGUUUAUCCCAAGAUGGCGGCGGUUCCCAGUUCCGGGCCGGGCCGACUCACGUGGGAGUGAGCCAGACUCGGGGUCUCCCGUAGCGUGGUCCCCCAGGACUGCAGAGCGCGCGCCGCUGCACCCGCUUCCGAGCCAUGCCUCACAGAAGGAAGAAACCCUUUAUAGAGAAAAAAAAAGCUGUAACAUUUCACCUGGUACACAGAAGUCAGAGGGACCCUUUGGCAGCUGACGAUACUGCACCUCAGAGAGUUCUGUUGCCUUCACAGAAGGGAGAUGAGGAACAGAGGAGAGAAGAGCAGAGGAAAUAUGGAGUGUUCUUUGAUGAUGACUACGACUACUUGCAGCAUCUAAAAGAAGCCUCUGGUCCCUCAGAGCUAGUCCCGUCUGAUGUGUCUGGUCAACAGAGCAGGAUUAUAGUGAGAGGGGAAGGAGAGAGAGAGGAAGAAAGUCAACAAAUUCCAUCUCCCACUAUUAAGUUGCCUUCCUCAGUGUUUGCCUCAGAGUUUGAAGAGGAUGUGGGACUGUUAAAUAAAGCUGCUCCUGUUUCAGGACCCCGUUUGGAUUUUGACCCUGAUAUUGUCGCAGCUCUUGAUGAUGACUUUGACUUCAAUAAUCCAGAUAAUCUUCUCGAAGAUGACUUUGUCCUAAAGGCCAGUGAGCCAGGGAAAGGGGUCUGGAAAGGAGAAGAUUGUCGGAGCUCUGAUACUGAGGAUGAAGAUGAGUGGGAGGAUAUGGAUGAUGGAAAGGACAACAACAGUAGUGAUGAAGAUUAUGAUUCAGAGGGUCCUUUGUCGGAUGAUGAGGGAGUUAGUGGAGAGAUGAAAGAGUUUCUUUUCAUGCAAGAGGAAACCAAGAGUCGUUUCACAGAAUACUCCAUAACUUCGUCCGUAAUGAGAAGGAAUGAACAGCUGACCCUGCUAGAUGAGAGAUUUGAGAAGUUCUUUGAACAGUUUGAUGACGAUGAGAUCGGAGCGUUGGAUAAUGUGGAAUUAGAAGGCUUUAUUCACACCGACAGCACUCGGUUGCAAGAAGUCCUGAAUGACUACUACAAAGAGAAAGCUAAGGACUGUGUGAAACCUGAUGCUCUUGAACCAAGAAAGGAUUUAGAUUCUCCCCUUAAUGAGAAGGGGGAGGAGGAAGAAGAAGAAGAAAUCGUAACUUUAGUUAUUGAGGAACCCAAAGAGAAGUGGGAUUGUGAAUCCAUUUUGAGUACAUACUCAAACUUGUAUAAUCAUCCAAAACUUAUUGAGGAGCCAGCAAAGUCCAAACCAAUCAAAAUUUCUCACAAGAGUGGAAUCCCACUGGAUAUCUUGCCUCAGAGAGGUCUUACGGCUAAGCAGACUGAACGCAUGCAAAUGAUUGAUCAAAGUGAUCUGCCAAGAGUAUCCACACAGCCACGUUCCAAAAAUGAGAGCAGAGAGGAUCGAAAAGCUAGAAAACAAGCUAUAAAGGAAGAACGAAAGGAACGGAGAAUGGAGAAGAAAGCCAACAAAUUAGCCUUCAAGUUGGAAAAAACAAGGCAAGAAAAAGAACUGCUCAAUCUGAGACAGAACGUUCAAGGGCUCAAGCUGUCGUAGUGGAACAGAUGACUUUCAUAUUGUGGAAAGUUCUUUGCAUUGUUCUUUGUGCUAGGAUCUUGGGAAGACAAUGACUCUCUUAACCUUGUCCCGUCAUGGACAGAAGUUCAUAACAUGGCCAUCAUCUUCCAGUUGACUGAGUCACUGCAUCAUUAAGGAUCCUAAUUUUUAUGUGGUUUAUGAAUGAAAAGGAUUGGAAUAAAACAAAACCUGAGUGUGGGCAUCCAGCUUCUCCUUUUUUAGUGGCAUGGAUAGAUUCAUUGGAGUCUUGUUUUGUUACAAAAACAUCUGAGUGCUGCGUAUUAAGCUGAAGAGUAAAAUCCUCAGCCGAAGUACCAGGCUGGCGUGGCAGCGAACUUCUGUGAGUGUCCAGUGAAAAGAUGUCCCUGAGGAACUUGGGAAUGGGGAUUGACUGUGUGUUACCUGCUAGGAAAGGUUUGGGCUGGCAAGGCAGACAAGCUGAUGUAUCAGCGGGCUGACUCAUAGCUUAGCAGCAGCAAGGCUCACUUGCUAAGUCAGGGCGGUAACUCAGUUUUGGGUGACAUGAGCAGGGCAUCAUAUCUUCCACCUACGAUUCAGAUUUGAUUGUGGAUGAUGCCGUUUUUUUUUUUCAACAUGUACCAGGGAAAACACAUAGAAACAAACACUCUGUCUAGAGCCCCAAUUGAGCAGCCAGCACCAGAAGAUGAAAAGGCUUUAGAGAAAGAUGUCAAAGGUUUAAUGACCUCAUUUUGGCAGCAAUUCUAGCAGCUGCCAGCUAACAUUAGAGAUGAACAACUAAAGGAUGAGACUUGCCAGAAACUGACUCAACUCUACCGAAGAAGGUGAGGUCAAAGGAGUCACCUUCCAGCAGACCCAUAUUGGUAGGACCAAAAUGACCUUAACACAGUGGAUGGUGUUUCUGAAAGGACAAUGCAUUCUUAUCCCAGUGGUGCUUCAGAAAGAGAUGCUCGCCAAAAUCCAUGGACUCCAAAGUAUAAACAAGCACCCAGCGCAAGCACAACAAUCCCUACUCAGACCAGGCCACCAUAUGGAAGUUCAGACUUUAGUAGAGGGCUGCAAGAUAUGUAAAAGUGGUGGUGGUGGGGGGGGUGGGGGGGAAUCACCAGAACCAUUACUCUCUGCAGAGCUACCUGACAGACCAUGGCAGUGGUUAGUCACAGAUUUGCUUUUCUGGAAAGGACAUACAUGCAUUAUUGUAGUUGAUUGUACUUUUCCAGAUAUAUUGACAGACUUCAUCAGCACAGGUCAUCCAGAAACCAAAGUCAGUAGUUGCAAGAUAUGGAGCUCCAGAAGUCCUCAUAUCUAAUAAUGAGCCUCAGUUUACCUCUGAAACCUUCCUAGCAUUUGCACAAGACUUUGAUUUUGAACAUUGUACUAUUUGUCCACGUUACCCCAGAGUAAUGAGGAGGUGCACAGAGCAGUGUGGACUUUAAAAAGACUUCUGCAAAAAUCACUGGACCCAUAUAAAGCAUUCCUUGGCCUAUCGGUCAACACUGUCUGAACGAUCUCCAGCAGAACUUCUGAUGGGAAGAUGAUCCAGGAUGCCUUUACCUGAUUCAGCUUAAACUUAAGUGGUCCAACCUGAAGGAAUUUAAAAAACUGUAUACCAAAAUAAAAAUUCAGCAACAACGAAAUUUGAAUUUUCAGCACCGAACAAAAGCACUACCUGAACUGAGACCAGGGAACAAAGUUUGGCUUAACAGCUCCCAGACAUUUGGAACUGUUCAGAACUUGGCAGAAAUUCCCACAUCCUACCUAGUGGGAACUCCGCCUGUACUUCUCUGGAGGGAUCGGGUUCAUCUGCAGUGUUUUCUAACAACACAGAGAGGAUCUGGAACCUGCAGGUACUUUGUCGGAAAGUGAUCCUCCUCCACAGGGAACUCCCUGCACAAACUCAAUAUGGAAAUGAGAACAUGGCCUGGAAGACUGAUCAGACCCCUUCAAAGACUUGAACUUUGGAAUACUGCUCAGGACUAUUUAAUUCCUUAAAACUAUUUGCACUACUCUAGCCCCUUAUCAGUUGCAUUUAAAGUUCAUUUUGAAUUGUGGUGUGUGUGUGUGUGUGUGUGUGUUUGUAUACAUUGUCUUAGUGUUUAAUCUUUUAUUAUUAAAAAAAGGGAGAUGUGGUGGGUUUAUAGCAUUCCUGGUCCUCUCUGGAGGACCAGGAUGUGUUGCAGCUGGGAGUUUAAUAAAGGUAGGAAUUUUCUGGUUGAGUUCUCCAGUUGGUGCUUAAACAUGGCUCUUGUGUUUGUCCUCACACUACACCAUCUCCCCAGAGUCACAACAUGACCUGUCCAUCACUCCUUUCUCAGGCAGAGAACAGGUACAGGAAAAGCAAUAGGCCAGAGACAGUGGAGAGUUAAAACAGAGUUGGCAGCUGGGCAGGAGGGAGGGGGACUCAUGAGUCUCUCCUUCCAUUGGGCAGUGGGGAAGGAGCAGGACUGGGGAGGAAGCCAACAGCUCGGAGGGUGAGAUGUCAGAGGGACUGACAUGCUAAAGAUACCUGUCUUCAAUAGCAGAGAGUAGGACGUUAGAACAAGUAUAUAGGAGAAGUUCAGUUGGCUUAGAGCCAAAGUUAGAAUUUAACCAUUUAGGCAUUUAUCAUCCUAGUAUCUAAAUGUGCCACUUGGUAAGUCUUCAGUUGAAUGGUAACCCCUAACAUUUCUUAUAUUAAACUGUAAAGUAACUCGUAUGGAAAUGGUGAAGCUGGCUCCUCCAGUUGGUAAGACAAACAGAGGAAAUGGAGGCCUGUGGGGUAUGAAAUUUACCCCACCACUGAGGUGGAGAGAUCACAAAAGGGGGAAGAAAAAACCCACAGGUGACUUUCGUUGUGCAAAAGUGCCCUUUAUACAACCAGUUCCAGAAAUCAUAGGGCCUGCUCUUACCAUUGAUUUUGGGGGGUGAGGGCAAGAAAUCCUGUGAAACUAAUAGUUUGAUAUGUUGAAUUUUAUACAGCUGCCAGAAGUCAAGAUUUGCUAGCUUGUGAAACCUGUGGAAGACAUUUUGCACAAGAUGUUCUGUUAAGGCACGAGCCAAUAUGCAGGAAAGUCUUCAACAAAAAGCGCAAACCUUUCAAUUCUUUGAAACAGAGACUGCAGGGAACUGAAAUUCCCUCAGUGAAGAAACAGCCACCACCAAAG
Non-coding RNA from Chrysemys picta bellii (western painted turtle), 4853 nucleotides. Lineage: Eukaryota; Metazoa; Chordata; Testudines; Emydidae. The record is from RefSeq and is a predicted model, not a curated record.